RNAcentral lists this ribosomal RNA (465 nucleotides) under uncultured bacterium. Its description in RNAcentral is "partial 16S ribosomal RNA". It matches the Rfam family "Bacterial small subunit ribosomal RNA", at positions 28 to 507 of the family's 1533-position model. The record is from RNAcentral.
GACGAACGCUGGCGGCGUGCUUAACACAUGCAAGUCGAACGGUGAACUCCGCUUGCGGGGGGAUCAGUGGCGAACGGGUGAGUAACACGUGGGCAACCUGCCCUCAGCUCUGGGAUAACUCCAAGAAAUUGGGGCUAAUACCGGAUAUGACCGCUGACCGCAUGGUCUGGUGGUGGAAAGAUUUAUCGGCUGGGGAUGGGCCCGCGGCCUAUCAGCUUGUUGGUGGGGUAGUGGCCUACCAAGGCGACGACGGGUAGCCGGCCUGAGAGGGUGACCGGCCACACUGGGACUGAGACACGGCCCAGGCUCCUACGGGAGGCAGCAGUGGGGAAUAUUGCGCAAUGGGCGAAAGCCUGACGCAGCGACGCCGCGUGGGGGAUGACGGCCUUCGGGUUGUAAACCUCUUUCAGCAGGGACGAAGCGAAAGUGACGGUACCUGCAGAAGAAGCACCGGCCAACUACGUG